This 1811-nucleotide unclassified non-coding RNA is filed under the name Leishmania donovani. Its description in RNAcentral is "gene:LdHU3.22.0720(CDS-product:peptidyl-prolyl_ci s-trans_isomerase_putative)". The record is from RNAcentral. Lineage: Eukaryota; Euglenozoa; Kinetoplastea; Trypanosomatida; Trypanosomatidae.
GUGUGCGUCGUCCGCACGGGUGGCGCUUUAGGUGACCAUGAGCAGCUUCCAAGCACACGUGGCGAAGCUAGCGCGGGCGGCGGAGAGCGUCUCUGCAGAUGCCGAGCAGGCCCCCCCGGCCGUCGCGAUCCCGCUGCGCGAGGCCGCCCAGUCGCUGCCGCCGCACAUCAUCGCCGCGACAGACCCGGUCAAGCUGAACAAGCAAGCGUCGAUUUUCCGCUGCCCUGCAUGGGCGGGUCUGCCGUCGCGGCCUUUCCAUCUUCACUGUGUGCGAGGCAAGGUGCCGUAUCCCGCCCUUGGUCUGCAGAGGUUUCCGUACUACCUCUUUGGCAAGAACCCAGUGUGCGAUUACGUGCUGGAGCACCCCUCCAUCAGCUCCGUGCACGCCGCGCUUAUCUUCAACAAGGAGCACGUCUGCUUUGUGCUGCUUGACCUGGGCUCCACCAACGGGGUGCGACUCGAAGGGAAGCGUGUGGAGCCGCGCAAGCCCAUCCCUAUCGCGGUCGGGUCGGUGUUGCAGUUUGGCUACAGCACGCGCACCUACGAGCUCCGCGCGGGGGCGCCGCCGCAGCUGAAGCGCCUUCGCGAGGACGGUGACGAAGAUACGGCGGCGCAGCGGCACGGGUCGGGGUUGGCGUCGGCGGACAGUGGACUCUGUGAAGCAGACAAGGUGUCGCUCUCUGCUGCUGUCGCCGGCACCGCCACCUGCCCAGCGACAGCGCCAAGUGCCGUGAUCACUUCGGCCACCAGCGCCGCUACCGCUGUGUCCCCGGCACCCGAAGGACAGGUGGCGAACGAGCCAAGAACAUCCUCCACGACUGCAGAGGCUGCCACUUCCAGUGCCCACGGCGCUGUUACCAGCGAUGUUGGACGGAUGGCUGAACCUGCGGCGACGACCGUAAUGCAUGCAACUGCAGAUGCAACCGGCGGCUCGCCGGCAGAAGCUGCGACUGCCUCUGCAGCGGCGGAGUAUGCCCCCAUUCACCUCUUCCAGCUCGUCAUCAAGCACAAAGACGUUGAGAACCCUAUCUCGCGUGGGCGCAACAAGGGCGAGAUCAUCACCCGCUCUCGCGCCGACGCACUUGACAUGGCGCGUUACAUUCUGGCCGACCAUCGGCGGCGAGUGCCAGUCGCUCCAGAUCUUGGCUUCUCGCCAUGGACCCCUGAGGAGUUCGUUGCGGCUGUCGACGAGUACUGUGAGAUGUCAGCGAAGAAGAAGCGCGGCGACCUGGGGGUGGUCGAGAAGGGCACCUUCGCGGACGAGAUCGACAAGGCGGCGUUUAGGCUGCGCCGCGGCGAGGUGAGUGCGCCGGUGGAGACACAGCUCGGUGUCCACCUCUUGUAUCGCUGCGAUUGAGCGUGCCCGCGUGUGCGCUGGGUCCAGGCUGCAUGUAUGGGCCGCAGUUAUCCUUUUCCCUGCGCGUGCGCUUUACGAUGGCGUGGGUGGAGGGGGAGGCCAACGAAAAAAAAAAAUAGGUGAGCAACUACGGUUCAUUUUUUUCGUGUGGGUCUGUCCUGGCGUAUUUCGCGGGUGGGGUGGAUGAAGGCUAGCCGCGGUGAGACCUACCAAAGGCAGGGCGACGGCGCCUUUGUUGUUUCUCCACUGUGAGAGCGGCCGUAAUACUUCCGUAUCACGGCCGUCGCGACAUCCGAGGACGCCGCUCUGAUGCUUAUGUGCUACCUGUGAGUAGCUGCUCAUCCGCGCUUCUCUCCGAUCCUCUUUUUUCUUUUCUCUCGUGGUCACGCCUCUCUCGUGAACCUCGGCUUUCUUUUUCACGCAUUUCUGUCUGUCUCGCCAUCCCUCCGCUAAG